RNAcentral lists this non-coding RNA (23 nucleotides) under Cricetulus griseus (Chinese hamster). The record is from RNAcentral. Lineage: Eukaryota; Metazoa; Chordata; Mammalia; Rodentia; Cricetidae.
ACUUGCAUUGGUGGUUCAGUGGU